This is an RNA transcript of Rhinopithecus roxellana (golden snub-nosed monkey), 1199 nucleotides long. It is a transcript of the gene named bcl-2 homologous antagonist/killer pseudogene, with no coding region annotated. NCBI's taxonomy places the organism in Eukaryota, Metazoa, Chordata, Mammalia, Primates, Cercopithecidae. The record is from RefSeq and is a predicted model, not a curated record. The transcript has a single exon.
AAGCAAAGGCUACAUCCAGAUGCCAGGAAUGCACUGACGCCUGUUCCUGGAAGCCGGGCUCCCACUCAGCCCCUGGGAGCAGCAGCCGCCAGCCCCUCGGGACCUCCAUCUCUGCCCUGCUGAGCCACCCGGGUUGGGCCAGGAUCCCGGCAGGCUGACCCCGUCCUCCACUGAGAAAUGGCUUCGGGACAAGGCCCAGGUCCUCCCAGGCAGGAAUGCGGAGAGCCUGCCCUGCCCUCUGCUUCUGAGGAGCAGGUAGCCCGGGACACAGAGGAGGUUUUCCGCAGCUACGUUUUUUACCGCCAUCAGCAGGAACAGGAGGCUGAAGGGGCGGCUGCCCCCGCCGACCCAGAGAUGGUCACCUUGCCCCUGCAACCUAGCAGCACCAUGGGGCAGGUGGGACGGCAGCUCGCCAUCAUCGGGGGCGACAUCAACCGACGCUGUGACUCAGAGUUCCAGACCAUGCUGCAGCACCUGCAGCCCACGGCAGAGAACGCCUAUGAGUACUUCACCAAGAUUGCCUCCAGCCUGUUUGAGAGUGGCAUCACCUGGGGCCGUGUGGUGGCUCUUCUGGGCUUCGGCUACCGUCUGGCCCUACACGUCUACCAGCGCGGCCUGACUGGCUUCCUGGGCCAGGUGACCCGCGUCGUGGUUGAUUUCAUGCUGCAUCACUGCAUUGCCCGGUGGAUUGCACAGAGGGGUGGCUGGGUGGCAGCCCUGAACUUGGGCAAUGGUCCCAUCCUGAACGUGCUGGUGGUUCUGGGUGUGGUUCUGUUGGGCCAGUUUGUGGUAGGAAGAUUCUUCAAAUCAUGACUCCCAAGGGUGCCCUUUGGGGUGCCAGCUCAGACUCCUGCCUGGACUUAAGCCAAGUUUUUGCCUUCUCGGCUCCCUUGCAGGGGUCCCCCCUCAAGAGUACAGAAGCUUUAGCAAGUGUGCACUCCAGCUUCAGAGGGCCUCUGUGUGGGGGCCAGUCAGGCUGCAGAAGCGCCUCAAUGUUGUAUGGUGCUAGUGGGCCCUCUCUGGGCCCAGGGGCUGUGGCCUCCUCCCUCGGCUCUCUGGGACCUCCUUAGCCCUGUCUGCUGGGAGCUGGGGAGACUGAUAACUUGGGGAGGCAAGAGACGGGGAGCCACUUCUCCCCAGAAAGUGUUUUAAUGGUUUUAGCUUUUUAUAAUACCCUGUGAGAGCCUAUUCCCACCAUU